AUGGACGUCGGUCAGGCUGAGGCGGCGGCGCUGCUGUUCACGGAGGCGAUCCACGACGGCCCGCCGACCGCGGCGCUCUACGCCGAGCGAGCGCAGGCGCUCAUCAGGGCGGGCAACUUCGCCGCCGCGGCCGCCGACGCCACCAGGGCCGCUGACCUCGACCCCACCAUGCACAGGGCCUACCUCCGGAAAGCCCGCGCGUGCAUCAACCUCGAGCGCUACGGCUCCGCCAGGGCCGCCGUCCUGGCCGGCGCCGCCGUCGCACCCGGGGACCUGCGGUUCGCCGAGCUGAUGGAGGAGCUCGACGCCAAGGUGGUUCCCGGGCAGAGGACGGAGCUGGCGGCAGGGGCGGCAGCCGGCGCCUGCGACAGCGACCGCGAGCAGCUAGCAAAAGUGGCCGGUGAUGUGCACGGAUGGCCAAGGCCGGCGGCGCACCGGAGGGCAUCGAGCUGCGUCUAG
RNAcentral lists this ribosomal RNA (459 nucleotides) under Triticum aestivum (bread wheat). RNAcentral describes it as "partial small subunit ribosomal RNA". The record is from RNAcentral. Lineage: Eukaryota; Viridiplantae; Streptophyta; Magnoliopsida; Poales; Poaceae.